Molecule: long non-coding RNA, 1703 nt
Organism: Cyprinus carpio (common carp)
Lineage: Eukaryota; Metazoa; Chordata; Actinopteri; Cypriniformes; Cyprinidae
Source: Ensembl
AUGACACAAUCUUGUCAAUUAUUUAUUUAAUAAUCCACAAAUGAAUGUAACGAUUAACUUAUGAAACACUCUGACUUUUAUUUUGAAGGAAACACCUGUUUCCAUGAUAAGGUCACGUGACUGAUGUGAAACUGUAGCAGCAGUGUUUCUUUGUUUUGGUUCCUGCUCUUGGAGAAGUUAAGGAGAAUGAAACUGAUGAUAAGACGGAUAAUGUGAAACUGUAGCAGCAGUGUUUCUUUGUUUUGGUUCCUGCUCUUGGAGAAGUUAAGGAGAAUGAAACUGAUGAUAAGAUGGAUAUAUUGUUAUAGAAACGAAAACUGGAUUUAGAAUCAGAAACAGAGAAGAAGAGGUUUUGUUCACUCGGCUUAGAACAGGACACACUGGACUGAAUCAGACAAUAUUCAAAACAGACAAACAUCAGCAGGUUUGUGUGAAAACUGUGAGGUAUCGGAGUCAGUGUGAAUGUGUUACUGGAGUGGAGGAAAUGUGAGGGGCUACGAUGGGAAAUGUCUCAAGUGAUGGAGAAAGACGUUGUAAAUAUUACUGUUCAAACGCUUUUAGAAGUGCUUGAUACAAACAUCUCAUGAUUUACCUAAAAAAUACAGUAUUGAUGGAAAGAAUAGAAUUGGUUCCCUUGUUUGUCUCUUCAGUCCGGUGUGUGGCGAUAAUGCACCUUUAAAAUCGGUUGCCAGCCACCAAUCAAAUCUAAAGAAGAAAAAAAUUUGGUUAAUUCGAGUCAUAUAAAAGAAUGUAGUUUUUUUUUUUUUUUUUUUUUUUUUUUUCUAGUUUGUUUAUUUGUUUUUACUGGUUUUUAUGAUUCAUUUUCGUCCUAAAAGCAAAAUCCUGGUUCAUAAAUGUAUUCCAGUCGGUGGAGGUGAUGCACCAGUCAGUGAACAAACAUCAAAGAAGAAGAAGAAGAAGAAGUAACGCAGCAGCCGCGUGCGUAGAGUUUAAAACAUGUCGAGGUUUAUAUUCUAUCAUCAGACCACUAAGCAGAGAUAGACUGAAACGCAAAGUAUUCCUCUUUCAUUCCAGAGCAAUGAAAAGCGUUGAAGAAUAGUCUCUGUAUCAGUACAAGUGUUGCUCCACACUUGAUUUACUGCAUCAAACCAUAUGUGCAACAUAAUAUGAUGGGACAAUUCUACCGUAUUUAAUAAUGAACUUUAACUCUGAUUUUUAUUUUCAAACAGCGCUUGCUUCCGGGAAAAAAAGCCUUAUCUCUUCACAGAGGCUGCAAUAAUGCGUUAUGACCACCAGGCGGAAUAUAUGGAAAUGUUUUAUUAUGUUAAAUUUGUGCUAAAAAAAAUUAAAUCAGUCAAUGUUUCUAUUUAAUACUCAUAAUAAUAUACUGAAUAAUGCAUCAUUCAGUACAUACUACAUCUAAAUAUAUUACAGUGUAGCUGUAAAUACACUUGAGGACAACAGUUUACAUCUCCUUUGCAGAAUCUGCAAAAUGUUAAUUAUUUCCCCCAAAUAAGAGGGAUCAUACAAAAUGCAUGUUAUUGUUUAUUUAGUACUGACCUGAAUAUGAUAUUUCACAUAAAAGAUGUUUACAUAUAGUCCACACGAGAAAAUAAUAGUUUUCACAUUUUAAAAUAAUCACAUUUUAUUAUAGCAGAUAGAUGAGUUAAAUUUUCCCAAGGAGAUUUAGCACGAUUGCAAUGGUAGAAUAAAUGAAAUAAGGUCUCUUCCUCUAAUUUACA